This 2663-nucleotide long non-coding RNA is filed under the name Homo sapiens (human). RNAcentral describes it as "HSALNT0129635". The record is from RNAcentral. Lineage: Eukaryota; Metazoa; Chordata; Mammalia; Primates; Hominidae.
AUUUUUUAUGGCCAUGAUAUAAGUCUGACAAUCUUCAACUCUAGGUUGAACACGGGAACAGUUUAACACAGACACAGUUCUAUGUUAGCUAAUGGCUGAGAAGGGCAGUUUAGGGAGCGAGAGGCUUCUCUGAUGAGAUAACAUGAGAAGUAAGACCUGAAUGAUAAGAAGAAUUGGAGCACAUAAGACACAAUUUAUGUCCCCAGAAUGGCUGGCUUCCAUCUAUUCUCUCACACCUUUGUGUCUUUGCUUGCUCAGUGGCCAGCCCAAGCCACCAUUGCCAUUGCCAGUGCCUCAUAUCCCAACUGUGCCAGUGACCUCAGCCUCUCCCAGUGACUGGAUUCCACUGAGAUUGCAUUAGAAGGAGACUCACAAGUUUGGUGCUCAGGUGCAAUCAGUCUGUAUCCUCAGAGGUUCCUCCAAUCACUGGGGGAUCUGGGUUCCCUAGCAGUUGCCAUAAAGAGCCAGUAACAGAACCUGGAGGUGAGGGUGAAUUAAUUAGUUCUCUAAGGGACAAACUUCAACCAGUUUCAACAGGAGACAAGAAGACAUUGGCAGAGAAUCUCCACUCUCUCCUGUGGACAGAAUGUUUCUGGAUAUAAUGAUGUAGGUCCUGUCUGGAAGAAGUGCUGGUGACCAAGAAAGCAGGUAUGUUGUUUUGUGAUGCUGUAGUCAUUCAUAACUCGCCACCUUGAAUUUACUUUCCCCUCCUUUUCAGCCUUGAUUCUCUUUUUCCUUCAUUCUUGAGUCCUGGAAUUACAACUUCACAUAAAGUCUUGGCUUGUAAGUUUUGCCUCAGGAUCUGUUUUCUAGAAAACUCAGACAAAAACAAACACAAUACAAAAAUAUGAACCAUAGUUCAGGAAUUGUGCUCAGGUUCAUGGAGGUGCUCAGGUUUCUGCCGUAUAUUCACAGGGGCACCGCAGGAUAUAUUAAAAUUUUGAAAGAAACUCAGAGAUACUUGACAUUUGUUAGACACCAUGCAUACUACUGACUCAAUGUAGUUGAUAGUUUCAACACUAGAUUACACUACAUUCUUUCAGUGACAUCAUUAUGUUUGCAAAGCUGGGUUUUGGUGGUUGCAAUUUCAUGUGGUAUUAAGGAGCAAUACCACAUGAAAAUUAGUGUGGAACAGGAAAUGAAGGUGGUGGUGUCUAAUAUGAUCCUAAGAUUUGAGAGGUUGUGUCAUGCCCAUUACUAUCCCAUUGGUAAGUGAUUGUGGCUGCUUACAAAUGAAGUACAAACAUUUUUUCUUUCAAUUUAUGUUUUUUUCAAAUAGCUACUAAUGUUGUCAAGAAGUAAAUGUUUAUUGAAUUGUUAGCAUCUGAAUACUUAAUAAACAUAAGUGUUAGGUUCAUCUUCAUAAAUCUCAGCCUAGAAGUGCCAGGAAAAAUAAUUACUGAGACAUUCAGUAAAGGGUGGUGUGAACUGAGAAAGUCUGGGAACCUCUGAGGUAGAGCUUUACGGGCAGGCAGGAAUAAGCUCAGCAUGUGAUGUGGUUUGGCUCUGUGUCCCCACCCAAAUCUCAUCUCGAACUGGAAUCCCCAUAUGUCGAGGGAGGGACCUGGUGGGAGGUGAUUGGAUCAUGGAGGUGGUUCCCCAUGCUGUUUUCAAGAUAGUGAGUGAGUUCUCACGAGAUCUGAUGGUUUUAUGAGGGGCUCUUCCCCCUUCACUCUCUGCUCUGCCUCUCCUACGACCAAGUGGGGCCUUGUAGGCUUUGACAAGAGAGCUCAGUUAUCAUUUCUGUACAACAUGAUACAUCCUGGAAACUUAAUCCUGGAAACUUCUUUUUCUUUUUUUCCUCAGUGACAACAUUUUCAAAAGCUCUAUUAUCUUUUCCUGGUUUUAUACAUAACUGAGGUCUCCAAUGUGUGCAUAUGCAUGUUUAAAUGUGUCACUUUUUAAAAAAACAUUCUGUGUUAUUUCUGGAAAAUUCCUGAAAUUCCUGAAAACUACAUACAUUUAAAAAUGUUAAAUAUAAUGUUCUCAUUAUUAUCUGGUCUUGCAGUCUUAUCUAGACUUAAAUUUUUUUUCUUCUUUCUUUCAAACUUCACAUUGAAGCCCUUUUAUCAAGCUCGGCAUUUAGGAGACUCAAGGUUGGUAUUUAAGACUAGGAUGACACCUGUUUUAGAUUGAACAGUAAUUAAUAAUAGAAAGGUGAGUUAGGAAGCUCACCAAAUGGGGCAUGGCUUUGGGCCCAGUCAUGGAAAUAUUGUCCAUCUGAGGUCUGAGAUUAUACUUCCAGGUCCAGACACUGGAUGUUUCAAUAUACCCAGAGAUGCUCAUUUUCUUGGUUAUGUACUUAUGUUACUCAAAAUCACAUGCAAUGCAGUUUCAAAGCAGAAUGUCAAUUUAUUUUUGUGAUUAGAAUGCUUUUGACCCAUUUUCAAGGAUUCCACUUUUUAGUGUCAAGGAAACUAAGAAGCAGGAUGAAUAAUUACAAGGUUACUUGGUGAUCGUUGAAAAAUAGAAAGGAAAAUAAAUUGUCUAAGAGAAUGACUAAUAUUUUAAGUAACUUCUCAGGAGAUCACCCCACAACAGAAUUCAUUUGUCUUUUGCUGGAAUUAUUUGUGCUUCCCAAAUGUCGCUCUGUCUUAAGUUAGAGUUAAUGUUCAAUGACUGUUUUUUUAAAAACCCAAUAUUCCUCUGAUUAGCAACCCAUU